UGAACGCUUGUAACUGCUUUACACAUGCAAGUCGAAUGGUCUUCAUUUAUGAAUAAACCACGGCGAACGGGUGAGUAAUACUUGGGAAUUUGCCUUAUAGUUUGGAGUAACUAAUUUAUUUAGGAGUACCAAAUAUUGAAAGAAGUUGCUUUUAUAAGCUUAAAUCUUUGCUAUAAGAUAAGCCUGAGCAAGAUUAGGUAGUUGGUAGGGUAAUAGCCUACCAAGCCGAAGAUCUUUAGUUGGUCUGAGAGGACGACCGGCCACACUGGGACUGAGACACGGCCCAGACUCCCUAGGGAGGCAGCAGUGAGGAAUAUUGGACAAUGGGCGAAAGCCUGAUCCAGCAAUGUUACGUGGGUGAUUAAGGCUAUUUUGGUCGUAAAACCCUCUCAGUGGAAAUGAUAAUGACAGUAUCCACAGAAGAAGUCCCGGCUAAUUCGGUGCCAGC
Molecule: ribosomal RNA, 448 nt
Filed under: uncultured Gammaproteobacteria bacterium
Lineage: Bacteria; Pseudomonadati; Pseudomonadota; Gammaproteobacteria
Description: bacterial SSU rRNA
Rfam family: Bacterial small subunit ribosomal RNA
Source: RNAcentral